GAUUGAAGUGCACAUGUCAAGGCCGCCAUUAUCACCACAGAAGAAGUUCGCGGGAAAGUAAAUAAGUUAAAUAAAAGACUGGUCAACGAAGGUAUUCCCCCGUUACAGGCCGUACAGUGGCGUACAGUGGAAUUAACACAUAGCAUGGUCCCCGCAGAGUAUUAACCAUAUUUAAAGAAUGGAUUUAACUCUGAAUUCAGAGGGAAGGAAGGAAUACAAAAUUAUAAGGUAUUUAACUAGGGUAAGACCAGAGUUUUAUGAGUAUGCAGAUAGGGGGUCAACAUAAAAGCCUAUAGGGGGUGAACAGAAUAGCUGAUAGGGGUUGAACAGAAAAGACAAAAUGAUCAAAAAAAAUAAAGAAAAGAGAAUAACAAGUUGCUAAAAUAUAAAUACAUGUUAUUAAGGGGUACAAAUUAAAGAAUGCAGAAAUGAAUUACCCCCUUUCCACACCUUGAAUGGGGCAAUGACCCAGCUUUGAUUUAAUCUCUGCUUGGAUUAACAGAUUUAUGGAUUAAACUAAUCUAUUAUUUAGUUGAUUAUUCAGAUGUGAACUUUAACCGUGUUUUAGACAUAACUAAUAGUCUUGCUUUUUAUGCCCCAUUUAAGGGCAUUAUGUUUUCUGGUCUCUGUCCGUUCGUUCAUCUGUCCGUCUGUCCCACUUCAGGUUAAAGUUUUCGGUCGAGGUAGUUUUUGGUGAAGUUGAAGUCCAAUCAACUUGAAACUUGGUACAAAUGUUCCCAAUCAUAUGAUCUUUCUAA
Mytilus trossulus (common blue mussel) is the source of this 758-nucleotide long non-coding RNA. RefSeq lists it as uncharacterized. The transcript has 4 exons. The record is from RefSeq and is a predicted model, not a curated record. NCBI's taxonomy places the organism in Eukaryota, Metazoa, Mollusca, Bivalvia, Mytilida, Mytilidae.